UAUAAGAUUUCUGUUUUCAGUCACCAGUUAUGUUGUAUAUAUAUAAGAUUUCUGUUGUCAGUCACCAGUUAUGUUGUAUAUAUAUAAGAUUUCUGUUGUCAGUCACCAGUUAUGUUGUAUAUAUAUAUAAGAUUUCUGUUGUCAGUCACCAGUUAUGUUGUAUAUAUAUAAGAUUUCUGUUGUCAGUCACCAGUUAUGUUGUAUAUAUAUAAGAUUUCUGUUGUCAGUCAUCAGUUAUGUUGUAUAUAUAAAAUGCAUCUUAAAAUGUUUUAUCCUGCAACUGGCAGUGACAUAUAUCUUUGCUUUAUUCGAUAGUGACAGAAAACAGCUAUAUUUGAACAUGCGUGGUAAUUCGUCAGAAGUACUCUUUGAAUUUACUUAAAUAUUACAUUCAGAAAUAUGAAUAAUUGGAAAGGAAGACUUGUGUUGUCAAGAUAUAUGAUAAACUGCUUUGCUUUACUGAGUAAGAGGUAUGCAUGUUAUAAGUCAGGGUUACUUAAACGAUAACAGAAUUGAAACAUCACUUUGUUUUUGGUAGAGGUGUGUUGUUUUUCGGACAACUGCUUAAGUAGCUAGUUCCCCCAAAAAACUAACUUAAUUUAAAUGUGUCUACAAAGUUUCACCUUCAUCACAAGCAUCUUACCUUGUCAAUAAUAUGACAUGGCAAAUGUUACAUUCUUUGAUAAUUUUUGUGUUAAUAUUCGAUGUGUUUUCAUUCAUAUGCUCGUUCGUUUCCCGGUUGGUUUCGUUGUUGUAUACCUUGUUCUCAUUUGCUGACUUGACUUUCUUUGAUAUACCAAGAUUUAUAUGAUGGGUGUCAUCAACUAAGUAGAAGAAGCAUACUGUUCCAGAACGUCUGGUCUUGUUUUUGUACGGGAGCUCGUUAAUCUUUCUUUUAUGCAUAUUUUGCCAUAGUGUUAUUGAAUUUGAGUUCGGAAUGUGAUGACCAAACAAAGUUAAAUAUAUGUUUGUGUUUUGCUUCGAUGUAUCAUGUAAAUUUGUGUUUUUAUAAAUAUUCAGCUUCCCCAGACACAGCUUCACUUGCCAAUAAAAUAUGUUCACAUUA
Molecule: long non-coding RNA, 1066 nt
Organism: Ylistrum balloti
Lineage: Eukaryota; Metazoa; Mollusca; Bivalvia; Pectinida; Pectinidae
Exons: 2
Source: RefSeq, a predicted model, not a curated record